This 110-nucleotide small RNA is filed under the name Mycetohabitans rhizoxinica HKI 454. RNAcentral's name for it is "Burkholderia rhizoxinica HKI 454 Burkholderia sRNA Bp1_Cand612_SIPHT". It matches the Rfam family "Burkholderia sRNA Bp1_Cand612_SIPHT". The record is from Rfam by way of RNAcentral. Lineage: Bacteria; Pseudomonadati; Pseudomonadota; Betaproteobacteria; Burkholderiales; Burkholderiaceae.
AAAAAAAAUGGGCGCCAACACGCCCAUCUUCUUUUUACCGGUGGUCGCGCCUCGAGCCGCACCUUAACUAAUAAGACGUGUGCCCAGCGACUGCGAAAUUAUAGCGUUUU